GACGAACCGUACGAACGUUAUUCGGAAUCACUGGGCUUAAAGGGUGCGUAGGCGGCGCGGAAAGUUGGGUGUGAAAUCCCCCGGCUCAACCGGGGAAUGGCGCCCAAAACUACCGUGCUCGAGGGAGACAGAGGUGAGCGGAACUUAGGGUGGAGCGGUGAAAUGCGUUGAUAUCCUAAGGAACACCAGUGGCGAAAGCGGCUCACUGGGUCUCUUCUGACGCUCAUGCACGAAAGCUAGGGUAGCGAACGGG
This 253-nucleotide ribosomal RNA is filed under the name uncultured bacterium. Its description in RNAcentral is "partial 16S ribosomal RNA". It matches the Rfam family "Bacterial small subunit ribosomal RNA", at positions 524 to 776 of the family's 1533-position model. The record is from RNAcentral.